Long non-coding RNA from Acinonyx jubatus (cheetah), 3767 nucleotides. RefSeq lists it as uncharacterized. NCBI's taxonomy places the organism in Eukaryota, Metazoa, Chordata, Mammalia, Carnivora, Felidae. The record is from RefSeq and is a predicted model, not a curated record. The transcript has 3 exons.
CUAGGUAGUCAUGCUAAAUUUUUAAAAAUUCUUUAUUACUAAAAUUAUAAAGCAGUAACAAUCAAAACAUUUAAUAAUAAAUGUACUAAAACCUGCAGCUUUGCUGUGUUAAGUUUUAAUCAGGUCUGCUUUUAACUUUUGCUACCUUAAUAAGUUAAAAUGAUAUCACUGUGGUGUUUUAAUUUGAAUUUAUUUUAUUAGUUGGAUAAUUAUUUGUCCCUGUAUUACUACUGGUACAGGAUUGUUUUUCUUAAAUCAAUAAAUUAUGAAAUUUUUAAUUUCUUUUUUAUAAUUAUGAAAACAGUUUUAAAAAUAUACCAGUUAUGGUGAUUAACAGGUACUUCUAUAUAAUAACAACAUUGAAGAAAUAUACUGAAAAUGAGAUUAAUUUAUCUUUUUUUCAUGUUUAAAAAUAUAAUUAUAGAAUACAGAUGCACUUUAGUGUUUGAAAGUAUAUUUUUUAUAAUGGUAAUUUUUAGUUCUCUUUUUAUUGAGAAAAGCUUUUUUCUUUUACAGUUAUUUCUGAAGUUCAUAUUUCUUAAGCACACAAACGUUUUCUUGAUUUAAUGUUUCCAAGGCAUGCUAGUCAGUGUUUUCUAGUCAACAAACAAUCUUGAAAUAUUGGUGUCUUGCAGUGACAAAAAUGUAUUUCUCGACUUGUUAUUUUUCAAUAUGUUACAUAUUGGCUGUAGAUCAGCUGGGACUCUGCUUUCUGCUGCUUCUUCAUCCUGAGAGCCAGUCUGGAGGAUCAGCCCUGUCCUAGGACAUGUUUUUGAACUUAAGGGAAAAAAGCAUUGGCAGAACCACAUGUGGAUUCUGCUUGGAUGUUGCAAAUAUUACCUUCUACAAAUAAAGUCAAGUAGUCAACCCUGGAAUUAGAGGUCAAAGCAGCAUAAUUUUCUCAUAGAAUGUGGGGUGACUUACUGGAACAAGAUUGCAUCUAAAACCACCAAAACCAAAAGAAUAUAGGAUUAGUAGUUAUUUUGUUAUCUAGUCUUGGUUUUUUGAUGUGUUACCUUACCUAUUAUUGCACAAAUUUCUUCCCAUCUCAGGGCUUCCAUCCUAUUAAGAGUACAGUACUCUGAAUCAGCAGGUCUGCAGUAGGAUAUCUUUUUUAAAAAUACUUUUACAUACACAAUAAUUGAGAACCAUUGACUUGGAGGGUUUCUAAUCAUCUCUCAGUUUUAAGUUUUGUGACCGACAUUUUUAAAGUGAAGGUGAGUUUUUCCUGCAUUUUUUUUGUGAAAAGUUUUUACAUAUGAAGAAAUAAUUUUCAAAGAAAAAAAUUUUAAUUCCAACUUUUACACAACUGAUAUUUUUAAUUUUUCUUUGUUCCUUUCUAGUGUGUCUAUAUAUUUAAUGUUACAUGAUAGACAUAUUGCUACACAGUAUUUAUUUCUUGUCCCUACUCCAUUUCCUUCCAAGCAGAUCAUUCUUAGUCUUCCUUCUUAUCCAAGGUGAGAUGCUGUGGCUGAUACUGUUUCCAGUACACUGGACUCCUUUGCACUUUCAUUGUCAGAUCCCCAGUUAUGUCCCCUUCUCAUCCGGUUUAGCAGUACAGCUUCAAAUGAUAUAACUGAUUUGUGUCAUUGCAAAUUCAGGGUCUGCAAUCUGCACUGGACCUGCCAUGUCCCUAAUCUGUCUUUUGUAUCAGUCAGAACAGCUCCCUCUCCCAUUCCCUUGAUGAGCUAGUCUCAACAUUGCCUCCGCCCUCAAGCCUCAUUCUCAGCCAUUCUUCUCAGUUUCUGCAAGUGGCCUUGUGUUCAUCAAGCAAGAUCUGCUACCUGCCCUCCUGCCUUCUGACUUACCUGUAUCUGUUAUCAUUCUCAUUCACCUUGUUUCAGUUACAGGGCAAAAAUGGCCACUGUGCUGUGGAAGACCACCCUUUCUUAGGUUCUGGACUCUUAUCUUCUGCUGCUGUUAGGGACCUAACUACAUCCUCCUCUCUUAUCUCUCUUCAGUGUGUCUUCACUACUUUUUCUUCAUCCUCAGUUUAUAAAUUUCUGUAUCUUACCUAUCAUAAAUUCAGUAAACCAGAUAAACCUUUCCUUGACUCUCCUUAAACCUCUUUCUAGUUAACAUGGAAACCUGGACAAAUGAAAGCAGCUACUGGUUUUAAUGCUAUAGACAUUUGGCAUGACAGUUAUCUUAAAAGCUUUGUCCUUGAUUUUUAUGUCACUUCUCUCUGAAAUCCCUUACACUUUUCAACAUUUUCCCAUUUCCUUUGUAGGUUCCUCCUCUUAUUCAGAAUAUAGAUUUAUAUCUUUAGUCCAGUUCUCUUUGAACUUUUUACUGUCAUGGUGUCAUAUAGACCGUAUGUGUUGAUAACAUGAAAUUUCUCUUUUUUUUGAGAGAGUGAGCAAGAGAGAGAGCACAAGUGAGGAGGGGAGUUGGUGGGGGGAGAGAGGGGGAGAAUUUUAAGCAGGCUCCACACCCAGUGAAGCCCAAUGGAGGGUUCAGUCCCACAACCGUUGAGAUCAUGAUCUCAGCCAAAAUCAAGAGUCAGACGCUUAACUGACUGAGCCACCCAAGUGCCCCAGAAGUUGCUCUUUCAUACCGGGUCAUCCAGUUGCCCUCUGGACAUUUCCACUGUGUCCCAGCCCCAGGCACCUCUAAUAAUAUAUCUGAGACUCACCAUUUUUCCUCUUUGGACAUAUUUCUCCUCAUUUAGUCUUCAUUUCUUUUGGAGGCACAACCAUUAUCACCCACACUAGAAAUAUAGGUAUCACUCUUGACUGUCCCUUUGUGCUCUUUCACAUGGAGAGAUAAUUGCCAAAAUCUCCUAAUUUUGAUUCCUGUUCUUCUUACUUCUUCUCCCUUCACUCUCUUGGGUCAGGCUCCUACUGUCAUCUGGAGUAUUAUAACAUUUUGGUAACAAAUCCCCUAGCCUAAUUUGUUGUUGUCAUUGUCAUAUUUGUCCUCUAAAUAACCAUCUCAAAUGCACUGUCACUCCCCUCGCUUAGGCCAUGCUUGAUAUUCAUGACUCUCUAUGAUUUGGCUCUUGCCUGGUUUACUAACCACGUUGGUUUCCACUGUUCACUACAGCCUUUGUGUGAUAGAGUCAGUGCUUCUAAUUCUCCAUAUAUGCUAUGCUUAUCUUCAUCUCUGUAUUGUACAAUACUAAAAUCUCUUCCUCAAAUCCAAAGCCUGACAGGUUUCGGUAUCUUCAGAGCUUUUUACUCAUCCUUUGAGACUUCACUGGAAUUACCUAUUUACUGAUAUGUGUUCCCCUUUGCCCAUCUUUAUGUGUAAAAUCCUUACAGCAGUGACUGUCAUAAAGUUAAAUACUGUAUACAUGUUGGCUAUUAAUGUUAUCACAUUGUAUUUGGAUUUUUUUUCAGGUCCAUUUCCUCUAACACUGGCAGAACCUAGCAGUGACCAAAUGAUAACAUAUAGUAUAGUAUAUAUAGUAUUCCAUUAGAUUGCGACAUUGUAUUUCAGUUGUCUCCUUUUAGGGCAGUUAUAAAUUUGUAAACUUUUAGAUAAUACCUUUUUGUAGGUUUUUUUCAUACUUAUGAUUAUUUCUUUGGCAUAGUUUCUUAGGAGUGGGAUGACUGAAUUAGAGUGCAAGCAUUUUUAUGACUCUUCUAUGUAUAGCCAUGUGUUUCUACAGAAAGGCCAGUUUUGAUGUCUGAUGAUGUACCAUUUUUUUCUGCAGUUUUGUUCAUCACAUUAUUUCUUCCCCCAAUUUAAUGUCUAUAAAACAAUACCUUUAAUACUUGAAUUUAUAUUUCUCCAAGAAGUCAGAACAUUUUGCCAGAUAUAUA